GAAAUGGAAUGAUGAAAAAUAAAUUAUUCCUGUAACAAUCUAUGGCUGUAUAUAUAGAGUCUAUUGCAUGCAAAUAAGUAGAGAACACUAAUCAAUGCUCGUACUCUACGGGAUUGGACGGUGAUACCUCUCACUAUAUAGUAUUGAUAUUCUUCUAGAUGCUUUAUCAUCAAUGAAUACCAUACCUAACUAAAUUUGGCAUCUUCAUCUUGGUUUUCAGGGUGAGGGUGGGUUUUAGGUAUAUAAGAGCAGAAAAGACAAC
This 262-nucleotide unclassified non-coding RNA is filed under the name Hevea brasiliensis (rubber tree). Lineage: Eukaryota; Viridiplantae; Streptophyta; Magnoliopsida; Malpighiales; Euphorbiaceae. The record is from RNAcentral.